Molecule: long non-coding RNA, 534 nt
Organism: Dermochelys coriacea (leatherback sea turtle)
Lineage: Eukaryota; Metazoa; Chordata; Testudines; Dermochelyidae
Exons: 2
Source: RefSeq, a predicted model, not a curated record
GAGGAGUCUUGCUCUAGCCCUGGAGUGGGAAGGGCUAGCUGCCUGGAAGCAAGGUGUUAUGUUCCUGGGUAAUACCCACCAGACAGAUUUACAUCAGGAUUAGACAGCCAUGAGUUGAUGGGCCAUUGAAGACCCUAAACACAUCCAAUGAGCUUUUCCUGGAGAUGUUUCACAAAGCACUCAGGCCCAGUGACUCAUCAUGGCAUGUAAGGACACAUGAAGAGGAUAUGGGACCUAAGACUCCUUCCAUGCACCUGGGCUGAAGGUAUAAGGGGAGACUGUGACAUCACUACUUGGUCUUUAUCAUCUGCUUCACAUCUGUGGACUGCAUUUCUAAUGAAGCUUUGAACAAAGGGACUGAAUGACCCCCACAACCAGUCUGAGCAAUCCAGAGACACACUUUUACAAGCUAGCAGAUUUGCAUCACGGUUAUGAUCCUUACCUGCAAUCUCUGAAAAUCAACUGUAAUGUAUAUGGUCUUUUAACCAUUCAAUAACUUCUUUUCUUUUUAUAUUAAAUCUUUAGUUACUAAAG